Molecule: ribosomal RNA, 254 nt
Filed under: uncultured organism
Description: partial 16S ribosomal RNA
Rfam family: Bacterial small subunit ribosomal RNA
Source: RNAcentral
GAACCUGCCCUUGGGAGGGGAACAACAGCUGGAAACGGUUGCUAAUACCCCAUAGAAUUUAGUACCUCUACGAGGUAGGCUGAGGAGCAAAAGGGAGGAAUCCGCCCAAGGAGGGGCUCACGUCUGAUUAGCUAGUUGGUGAGGCAAUGGCUUACCAAGGCUCCGAUCAGUAGUUGGUCUGAGAGGAUGAUCAGCCACACUGGGACUGAGACACGGCCCAGACUCCUACGGGAGGCAGCAGUGAGGAAUUUUCC